UACAGAGACUGCAAGCGUUAUUCGGAUUCACUGGGCGUAAAGGGUGCGCAGGCGGCCAAGUGUGUGAGGCGUGAAAGCCCGGGGCUUAACCCCGGAAUUGCACCUCAAACUACAUGGCUAGAGCAUUGGAGAGGGUAGCAGAAUUCAUGGUGUAGCAGUGAAAUGCGUAGAUAUCGGGAGGAACACCAGUGGCGAAGGCGACUACCUGGCCUGUUCUUGACGCUGAGGCGCGAAAGCUAGGGGAGCAAACGGG
Molecule: ribosomal RNA, 253 nt
Filed under: uncultured bacterium
Lineage: Bacteria
Description: partial 16S ribosomal RNA
Rfam family: Bacterial small subunit ribosomal RNA
Source: RNAcentral